This 460-nucleotide ribosomal RNA is filed under the name uncultured bacterium. RNAcentral describes it as "partial 16S ribosomal RNA". It matches the Rfam family "Bacterial small subunit ribosomal RNA", at positions 338 to 795 of the family's 1533-position model. The record is from RNAcentral.
CCUACGGGUGGCAGCAGUGAGGAAUAUUGGUCAAUGGACGCAAGUCUGAACCAGCCAUGCCGCGUGCAGGAAGACGGCUCUAUGAGUUGUACACUGCUUUUGUACGAGGGUAAACGCAGAUACGCGUAUCUGUCUGAAAGUAUCGUACGAAUAAGGAUCGGCUAACUCCGUGCCAGCAGCCGCGGUAAUACUGAGGAUUCAAGCGUUAUCCGGAUUUAUUGGGUUUAAAGGGUGUGUAGGCGGUCGGAUAAGUUAGAGGUGAAAUCCCGAGGCUCAACUUCGGACUUGCCUCUGAUACUGUUCGGCUUGAGAGUAGUUGCGGUAGGCGGAAUGUAUGGUGUAGCGGUGAAAUGCUUAGAGAUCAUACAGAACACCGAUUGCGAAGGCAGCUUACCAAGCUACUUCUGACGUUGAGGCACGAAAGCGUGGGGAGCAAACAGGAUUAGAUACCCUUGUAGUC